GCCUGUGUAGCUCAGUGAUAGAGCGGCUGCCCUGUAAGCAGUAGGUCGGGGGUUUAAAUCCCUCCACAGGCU
This 72-nucleotide transfer RNA is filed under the name Nanobdellota archaeon. Its description in RNAcentral is "tRNA-Thr". It matches the Rfam family "tRNA". From Rfam's summary of the family: Transfer RNA (tRNA) molecules are approximately 80 nucleotides in length. Their secondary structure includes four short double-helical elements and three loops (D, anti-codon, and T loops). Lineage: Archaea; Nanobdellati; Nanobdellota. The record is from RNAcentral.